CUCCGUGGCCGGGUCUGACUGGUUCGAGGGCCGGCGAGCACCGAACCAUUCCCGAUCCCGGCUCGAUUGCGGCUCCCCUUUUGCCGCCGUUUGCCCCGUCGGACCUGGAACGAUCGGGGAGCGUAACCGCGACGAUCGAUCGAUCGGUCUUCGAUCCCAACCCUGGACGAAACGAGAAGCUCCCUCGCCGCGCGAGGCCGCCGGACAACGGGACGAUGCGACGAGACACGUGGAACGACGGACGACGACGACGGUCGAGAAGCAAGGGGGACAAGCACGAUCGGCGCACAAACACGGAGCACAAAGCGCGGCGCGACAGACGGUUUCACGGUUCGACGGUCAAACGACAAACCGGAAAACUUACCGUGGUCCUCGAGGUACGCGGCGAGAAUCUCCGCCGCCGUCGGCCCGUACUGGCUCCGUUGCAUCACGUUCUGCCCGGCCUGCAACCAACAAUCGUUAAAAGCUCGUCCCCGCGCGAGCUUGCCGCCGGCACGCGAGCACGACACGCGUCGGCCAGCACGCGAUCCGGCAGGAAGGUAAAUGGGAACGUAACGACGCGUUCGAUAACUCGUCGAGAUCGGCGCGGAUACGGCCGACGAGGACAGUCUUCAGCCGACGGGGCUGUGCUACCCGGCGUAGGAGGACCUUCGAUUUCGGGGUCGGAGAGAGGACACGUCGUGGCGCAACAAGUUGCGUACCGCUGGCUCGAACCGAGCGACGAGUGAACGUUAUUCUUACCGAAGGGUAACGAAUUAACGUGUCGCGAUCGGAUCUCUGCUACUUUCAACGGUGGAACUGACGGAGAGGAGACGCGGACGAUGCGGAAUGGAAGCGACGAACGGGUGGACGCAGUGGAAAAUAAUCGGAUCCGAAAUGCAAACAUGCUUCGACUGUUUGUUGAGGGUACAACGCGCCGAUCGCAAAUGGUUCACAAACAAGUUUCCCGACGCGCGUUCGCUGUCCGCGCGGAUUUUACCUGAACGGGACCGGCUGCUACCCAGGCUGCCGCGAUCGACCAGAGGAAGAUCGGCAGAGCGCAGUUACCCAGUGUCGUCAUCGCGCGUCCUAAGGUCGAGUACGAGCAGCGUCGGAUAUGUGUCGGGUGUUCGCGUGCGAAGAAUCGCGUUCCGUCUACAAGUCCUUCUAGUCUCUUUCCAACGAAUAUAUAGAGGCGGCACGGUGGCGAAGGGGUGAAGAGGCGCGUGGACGCACGCGCCCCGACGCGAUACCGGCUAACUCGAACCCGUGGGCACGCAGGACGCGGGACGAAGGACGAAAUGUAAAAGGCGACGCCACCGAAACCCAUUAAACGAUUGGCCCGCAUCGACGGGGUGGGUGCUUUUGCGACGCCCUAUCUCGCCGCGUUAUCUUACAAACAACCGGCACACCUAAUUGAGAGUAGUUCUCCCUCGACGGCGAUCGCCGGCCGGUCGAUCGCAGUUUCCCUGCCGGCAGAUGCUCGAGAAAGCUUCGUCGAGAACUGGUCGAAAAAAUCUCGCCCCGAAUCGUUCGUUUCGUCGGGCGAUUUUUCAAGACCGCCGGCUCUUCGUGCGGGACGCGAAAAGGCGUCCGGAAAAUGGGAAAGGGGUUGCUCGUUAAAAGUCGUUCUAACGGGAGCGGCGACGCGAAUCGGGCGAAGGGAGCGCGCGGCCCGGUGCCCGUGCGAUCGAUCUUGCUCGCAUCCGAUGCAGAAAAUAAAUCCUGGAGGCCGUGGAACGCACAUAAGUGCGUGGCCACGCGUGAGCGCGUCGCGAUGCGUAAAAGCGCGACACACUAAAUCGCGCCUACGAAUCGCCCGUAAACAUCCAAUUCGAUUAUCCGCGACGCGUUAACGCUUUACGAGGCGCGAGCACGCGUCGACGAAUCGACCGUUCGAUCGCGCGCGCGCGACUCCGAGCGUCGGGAUAGCAAUUGCAUUGUUGUAUUCGUCGGUGUCUCGAAACGAGGGAACGCUCCGAGAUCUUUUUGAUCGCUUCGGCCGUGGUCCUUUGGGAGUUACGAGCUUUCUUCCUCGCCUGCUGUUUCCGCGCGUUGCCGGACGUCGCGUCGAAUCGAUCGCGACGAAUGGAGAUAGCGAUAGGCCACCGGGUAUCGGCACUCCGGACGAUGUUUACUAUGCAGUCCGUCGAAAGUUUACCUUUCCGCGGUUUACGCUCAAAAUCUCCCCCCGGCCCGCCCGCGGAACUUUCGCUUUCCACUCUAUCGUCCCGCGACCCUCUUUGAUAGCGAUCGACGCCUGAAAGCCACUCGACCAGGCUUACGCCCGUUAAAAGACUCGAGGCUUUUAUCCUAAUUUAUCUUAACGCUGUCCGAUCCCUGGAUCGUACGCGAUCUGGAUUUGCCUUUGCUUCCGCGCUCUUUCUUGACUCUCGAAUACAAGCUGCUUUCGUCCCUCGGACUUUGUGCUAGCUGCAUGUGUUGCGCCACGCGGGUAAAUGUUCCAGUUACAAUGGGUAAUUCGUUUAACUCGUUAUUUAAAUCAUGGUAAAUUUGUCGAGCGUUGAAUAUCGACCUGAAAAACUGCGAGAAUAUCAACGACGUUUAAUUAAUGAAACCGAAAAUAGAAGGAUGAAAUUCA
Molecule: non-coding RNA, 2581 nt
Organism: Megalopta genalis
Lineage: Eukaryota; Metazoa; Arthropoda; Insecta; Hymenoptera; Halictidae
Source: RefSeq, a predicted model, not a curated record